GACGAACGCUGGCGGCGUGCUUAACACAUGCAAGUCGAACGGAAAGGCCCUGCUUUUGUGGGGUGCUCGAGUGGCGAACGGGUGAGUAACACGUGAGUAACCUGCCCUUGACUUUGGGAUAACUUCAGGAAACUGGGGCUAAUACCGGAUAGGAGCUCCUGCUGCAUGGUGGGGGUUGGAAAGUUUCGGCGGUUGGGGAUGGACUCGCGGCUUAUCAGCUUGUUGGUGGGGUAGUGGCUUACCAAGGCUUUGACGGGUAGCCGGCCUGAGAGGGUGACCGGCCACAUUGGGACUGAGAUACGGCCCAGACUCCUACGGGAGGCAGCAGUGGGGAAUAUUGCACAAUGGGCGGAAGCCUGAUGCAGCAACGCCGCGUGCGGGAUGACGGCCUUCGGGUUGUAAACCGCUUUCGCCUGUGACGAAGCGUGAGUGACGGUAAUGGGUAAAGAAGCACCGGCUAACUACGUGCCAGCAGCCGCGGUGAUACGUAGGGUGCGAGCGUUGUCCGGAUUUAUUGGGCGUAAAGGGCUCGUAGGUGGUUGAUCGCGUCGGAAGUGUAAUCUUGGGGCUUAACCCUGAGCGUGCUUUCGAUACGGGUUGACUUGAGGAAGGUAGGGGAGAAUGGAAUUCCUGGUGGAGCGGUGGAAUGCGCAGAUAUCAGGAGGAACACCAGUGGCGAAGGCGGUUCUCUGGGCCUUUCCUGACGCUGAGGAGCGAAAGCGUGGGGAGCGAACAGGCUUAGAUACCCUGGUAGUCCACGCUGUAAACGGUGGGUACUAGGUGUGGGGUCCAUUCCACGGGUUCCGUGCCGUAGCUAACGCUUUAAGUACCCCGCCUGGGGAGUACGGCCGCAAGGCUAAAACUCAAAGGAAUUGACGGGGCCCCGCACAAGCGGCGGAGCAUGCGGAUUAAUUCGAUGCAACGCGUAGAACCUUACCUGGGUUUGACAUGGAUCGGGAGUGCUCAGAGAUGGGUGUGCCUCUUUUGGGGUCGGUUCACAGGUGGUGCAUGGCCUGUCGUCAGCUCGUGUCGUGAGAUGUUGGGUUAAGUCCCGCAACGAGCGCAACCCUUGUUCACUGUUGCCAGCACGUUAUGGUGGGGACUCAGUGGAGACCGCCGGGGUCAACUCGGAGGAAGGUGGGGAUGACGUCAAGUCAUCAUGCCCCUUAUGUCCAGGGCUUCACGCAUGCUACAAUGGCUGGUACAGAGAGUGGCGAGCCUGUGAGGGUGAGCGAAUCUCGGAAAGCCGGUCUCAGUUCGGAUUGGGGUCUGCAACUCGACCCCAUGAAGUCGGAGUCGCUAGUAAUCGCAGAUCAGCAACGCUGCGGUGAAUACGUUCCCGGG
Molecule: ribosomal RNA, 1344 nt
Filed under: uncultured bacterium
Lineage: Bacteria
Description: 16S ribosomal RNA
Rfam family: Bacterial small subunit ribosomal RNA
Source: RNAcentral